CCGCCCCACUGAUUGGUCUGUCUUGGAAGAGAGCUCUCAUAUUGGUGUAGUUUUCUUUCUGCGUCUUCGGACCCUGCCUUGUUUCUCGUUGGUGGCCGGGCUUGCCAUUCUCGUCUCGGUUAUCCGUUCCCACCCUUUCUCUGUGUGCUUUAGAAAUUGCCACAGCCACCCCAGUCUUCAACAACCACUACAACAACCUGAUCAGAUAGCAGUCAUCACAUUGAGGCCAGACCCUCCACCAGCAAAAAGAUUACAAAUUGUUGAGGGCUCAAAUGAUGGUUAGCAUUUUUUGGCAAUAAAAUAUUUUUAAUUAA
This is a long non-coding RNA of Monodelphis domestica (gray short-tailed opossum), 314 nucleotides long. RefSeq lists it as uncharacterized. NCBI's taxonomy places the organism in Eukaryota, Metazoa, Chordata, Mammalia, Didelphimorphia, Didelphidae. The record is from RefSeq and is a predicted model, not a curated record.